This 239-nucleotide unclassified non-coding RNA is filed under the name Hevea brasiliensis (rubber tree). Lineage: Eukaryota; Viridiplantae; Streptophyta; Magnoliopsida; Malpighiales; Euphorbiaceae. The record is from RNAcentral.
CUGGUUGGUAAUCUUCUUACCCUUAGCAUCAUACCCACUUUCCCUAUCAACAGAACUUUGUAAUCUUGGACCUGAAAGCAAACUAGAACACGCUUCUCCCUCCAAUUCAAUAACCCCAUUUCCACAUUUUCCACACCCUUCCACAUGGAAAUUGCAGGAUUCAUGCCCAAACCAAAUCAAAUCAAAAGGGAACCUAUUCUUCACCAACUCCUGAACAGCAUUAAUCUUUCUUAUUGGCC